ACAAACCCUCGCGUCAAUUUCGGCAGCCCCAAAAUCCCUAAUUCCCCUCAUUCCGUGUUUUCAAAUUCAUUCCAGCUUGGUUCAAUUUCGGCAACCCCAAAUUAUGAACAGACCCUAGGAACCACGACUUUUACUCGUCGAGAUCGUGAUCUAGGCCUUUGUUUGUUUUGCUGAUUUCGUCGACUCACCAAAACCACUAUACUUAUCAAAUUCGUCAUCGGAACUGUCGUUACUGUUUAUGUUGAAGCAGUAAUCCUACUGCGCUUCACCGGCGCCGGUUGGUUUCUCCACCGACGAUAUCCGCAGAACAAUAAGGUUUGUGUGUGUUGCGUACAUAUAUCUAUAGUAAUAUAUUCUGUCAGUUAUCUUGAAUUAUUCAUACCUUAUUGUGUCUAUAAUACUAUGUUAGCGACUGAAGUGACCAUUUAGAAGGACAGAUGUCAGUCCCAAAUUAUGACCCCAACAAAAUCUUUCCGUCUUGGUUCAAAAAGUAUCGACUUGAAAAGUUGUUGUUCGGAUUAAGUACCUAUUUUUAAGUAAGUUUUCCUUUUGAAAUUGACUGCGUAAUAGAUAUCGUGAUAUAGGGCUUUGUUUACUGAUUUUUUGGUUUCUUAGGUUUGGUUUUGUUUUGGUCUAAGUUCAUCUUCUUCGGAUCUCAGAUUGUGUGAAAAUUUUAAUUUCUUUUCUGGGUUAUGUAAUUUCUACUUUCAUUGUAUUCAGCGAAGUUAACGAUUCCGGUCUGGUCAGUUGGGUCCAAAUACAAACAUUCCCAACAGCCUAGACAAACAGAGGAAUAGUUAAAUUUUCUUUAAUAAAUAAAAAACAGAUAAUUUUGGACAUUGAAGCAGCUGUAAAGCUGAAGAUAUGGAAGGAAACUACAAGGUUGAUUCUUGUAUCUUGAAAUAGUUUAUGAUAGCUUAAAACAGAGACAAGUGAAAACAAAUAGACAUUCUUUACUGUUUGUUUACUCUAAUAAUAAAGAUUAUCAAUUAGCUAAGUAAGCAUACAAUCCUGUGAUCAACAAGUGAGACUCAAGAAAUUAAAUGAGUCAUUGUGAUAGGAAAUUGCUUAAAGGAGUAUAUUGCCUGGGUAAUAUGUUGACACUUGCUUUGUGUUGUUGGUUGGUUUGUUUUUCUGUUUUGAGUGGAUAUAUGCAGACAAACAAUAUAUAUCAGCACAUAUGUCAAUUUUAAGAUCCCCAACAAUUUAUAAAGUGUAUGCUUAUAAUAUACAAUUAUUAGAGGAGUUGUUAUAUAUUUUUUUCUUUUAAUAUUUUGAAUAAGAUUGAAACUACCAGGAUGGUCUCCGCCCCAUUACUACUAAUUAACUAAUUGAUCAAGUCAAAUCCAUGAACUUGAUAUAGUUGUCACCAUUGUUUAUUAAUUGCAGGUUGUAUUUUUUUUUAAAAAUAAAAUAAAUAAUGGUCUAUCAAGCUAAACUUGAUAUUUUAAUAGGUUGGAUAUAUGAUAACAAGUAGCUGUAGCCUGUAGGAGGGAAUCCGAAACCUAUGACAUUUAAAUCUGGCAGCAUGAUGUUAGUAUGAAUAUCCGAAUAAUAGCCAACCUUAGAAACACCUUUUCCAAUGUAGUCUGAUCCUCCAUCUCUUAUUUCCAGAGUUUCAUAAAUUCCUGAAAGAAGAGACAUGUACAAAAGAACAGAGAAACACCCUGUCACAAUAAUUACAAUUACAAUUAAAAUUAUAUUCUUGUCCUAAUCAAGUAGUUGUUCUCAUGGGUUGGUAUUACAUAUAUUAUAUAAUGUAUUGUUUGUAUAAACUUUCAAGCCAAAAUUUAUUUUUGGAUGAAUGUGUGGCCAUUUCUUGUAUAUACUAAAUCACAGUACAUGACACAAUAAUUUGACAUCUGUCCUUCUAUAAAUUUAACACAUGUCCUUAUUUAAUGCUCCUUAUUACCUUUACAAAAAAACUCAUGACCCCGCGUCUAAAAAACAACUGAGGUUGUAAAAAACCUAAAUACAAACCCCUAAUUCCCCUUGGUUCAAAUUAAUUCCGUGUCUUGGUUCAAAUUCGUCAGCCCCAAAUUAUGAAUAGACCCUAAGAACCACGGUGAGCAAAAAGUAUCGAUUUGUGACGAAACAACAAACCUCUAGAGAUUUUAUUAGUUGAAGAGUUGUUCGGAUUGAGUACCGAUUUUCAAGUAAGUUUUUCUUUUGAAAUUGAGUGCAUGGUCGAGAUCGUGAUAUAGGGCUUUGUUUGCUGAUUUUAUGGUUUCUUCGGUUUUGUUUUGUUUAGGUCUACGUUCAUCUUCUUCGGAUCUCAGACUAUGUGAAUUUUUUUAUAUCUUUUCUUGGUUGUCUUAGAAAUCAGUCUGGAUAGUUAUGAAAAAAUUGUGGAUAACUGUGUCUAAUUGAGGACAAUGCUCGGGUUGAUUUUCGAUCCCCAAAAUGGAAGAAAUUUCUGUUUGAAAUUUCACUCUGAUUGCCCCCAAAUGGGAUGAAAAUGGGAUUCCUUUUGUUUCAGCAAUCCGUUCAGCUCUUACAGCUCUUACCAUCUGUAUUAUGUUGUAGCAUUUUGGCCACUUUGGUAUAUUUGAAAGUAUCAUUCUCACAACGUGAGUUGGGCAGAGACAAAUUAGAUAAAGGUUGGAUUGAUCAACAUUGCUUAUAACCUUUUCCCUUCUCCUAAUAUUUAGUUUAUAUUCUAUUUGUUACUUGCAUAUUUUAAUAUUUAUGACUAUCAUUUAUGUUGCAUUGAUGUGUUUAACAGUUUGAGGAGAAUCAGUGGGAUUUCGUUUAUAACUUCAAUUGUCAUUGAUGUGAAAGUGGUAGUAUCUUUAUAUAUAUAUAUAUAUCAUAUUAUAAGCUAUGGCUCCUGAAACUAUGAACGUUUUGCUUUCAGAUAAAGGCCAUGAAGGAUAUGUAUUUACUAGAAUUAACUGAAAUGUACCAGAAAAUUGCUGCUAAAUUGCAUCAGGUAAUUUAAUGUCCACCUUUGAUUUUUAUCAUGUCAUGUCAAUUAAAUUUUUUUUUACUAUCACAGGAACAGUGGGGUUUUAUUCGCAGUGGGUAAGAUCUGGGAUACUCAUAUUACUUCCCAUGCCAUUAACAAUUUUAUAUUUGUGCUAACAUACUUUGCUCAAUCAGUCCAGUUGUGUACAAGCAAGAGUUCGCUUUAUGUGAGAUAGUGAAAUAGAGACUGCGUAACACAUGAUUACCAGGCAUUUUUGAAGUGUCUUCAUAUUUAUAGCACUGAAAUAAUUACAAGAAAGGAAUUACAAGGUUUGUUAUGUAUCAAGCUGAUCAUGCUAAGUGUUGCUUAUUUUUUUGCUGCUUAUUUAGAUGCUUAUUGUAGAAGUCAUUACAAUUUUGACUGUUUUGAGUGGCUCUUUCCAAUCACUAUGUAAAGUCUUUGUUCAGAACUUGGUUACUUAUUUAGAUCCUAAACCAACGAUUUGAAUACACGGAAGUAGAGGAGGAAAAAGGAUUCUUUUUAUGCAAGAGGAACCUAACUAUGAUUAUAGAGAAAUGAUUCCUAUAUUAAUUUGGACUUGGAGUUUGAGGCAAAUUCUAUUCAAUUCUAUACUAUUUUGUCUCAAGUAAACCCUUCAUAAUUCUACUUUGACCACAACUUGACUUCUCUUCAUUUGUAUCUCGGGGGAUCGGGGCUAAAGGAUAAUUUAUGGAUUAAGCAUUAAACAACAGAUGUAGCUGUUAUUAUCGUAUUGUUUUGCUCUAUUCUAGGAUUUGUCUACUUCCAAAUUCCAAUAUUUUAUUGUCUUAUAUCUCUGUCUUAUGUUAAUUGCUAUGUUUCUCAACACUUUUUUCUCAUUAGUUGGUUCAACAUUGUUCAAGCAGUUCUCUUUUUUAGUAGUGUAGCUUACGCUUAAUGCCAAUGCACCAUGUAUUAAAUUGCUGACGCAAAGUCCUUCUUAUGACGUUUAAAUAUUGGCAUGUCUUGGAUCUAUGAGAAAGUGAAGGAGUUACAGUCUCUAUCAAAAUUUGACUGCAACAAGAACUUGAAGCAAGAAUUGACAGACAUAUCCAGGUGAUUUUGUGCUUUCUAUUUUACUUUGUGUUGAAAUAUUUAUUAUGGUAUGUGUUCUACUGAGGUUGGAUUCAGAAGACGUAGUCAUGACCAAGGAUGUUAUUGUAAUUAACGUAGUCAUGACCAUAUUUUCUGGACGGAGUUGUUAUAAUAUUGAAUGUGAUGAAGAAAUUUGUGAUAUAGGUCAUUAUUCCAGGAGCGUACAUUAGUUUUGUCUUAUUGGGAGGAAACAAAAACAAACAAUUAACAUUACCAUUAAACAAGUGAGAGUCUCACUAACUUUUGCUUUAAAAUGACCUUGUGAGGUCAGUGUUUUUUCUAUUUCUAUUCAUUAUGAUUUAUAGUUUGUCAAUAUACAAGUCAUUAGUCAUUAUUAUAACUCUAAACUUUUGUUGAGUGCAAGGGAAAACGAGUGUAUUGAUGUCUGAGUAUUUCAACAAGAAACCUGUUGUUUUUUUUGUUUUUUUNNNNNNNNNNNNNNNNNNNNNNNNNNNNNNNNNNNNNNNNNNNNNNNNNNNNNNNNNNNNNNNNNNNNNNNNNNNNNNNNNNNNNNNNNNNNNNNNNNNNUAUUCCUAUAUCUAAAUAAAUUUGCCUCAAGCUAUGAAACUGACAUUAUUCUUUAGACAUCUUGCGAUCCCUAUUUCAUCAAAAAAAUUAUGGAUACCUUUAUUUCAGGAAAUUAUUAAAGGAGCUGGCCACAGUAGUGCUAUAGAUUGGUGGGCUCCUGGUAAGCACAUAAAGAAACAUGGUAUGAUUUUCUAAACAUGCCACAUGUUUGUUGUCAUCAUUUUAAUAUCUAUUUAUGUUGUUUUUUUUAUAUGAUUUUCAUUUGGGCUUUUCCAUGUUAGUAGGUGUAGAUUUUUCCUGAAGCAAUGUUUUGCAAGAAAAUUCCAACCCUUGAAAUUGGAAUUGAGUGCCAAAUUGUAACUAAAUUUUAAUUCUAGAGAAUUGCAAAUGUGCUUUCAAUUUUAAUUCAAAGCUUGAAUUGAGUUGCCAUACAUAACAGGAGUGUAUUUGUAUGUUUCCAAUAUCUACCUAAUAAGACAAUAUUGUAUGUGUCCCAAUAAAUUAAGUUAUUUUCUAUCAUCAUAAUGCAGUUAUGUGUACCAAGGAUUGCUUACAUAGUGUUUAAAUUUGCAAGCUUCUAUGUUACUUCUUAUUCUUAAUAAUUCAUAUCAUCACCAAAUUAAGAAAAUAGUACGCGGUUAUUAUAGUUUUGAUUCUAACAAUUAUCUAUGCGAGGCCUUGAUGCCAUUGGUGAGGCCAUUCUUCAAAAACUUAAAUUUGGAGCAAUCAGUUGCAUAACAUAAUAUCAGAGCUUUGAUUUUUGCACUUUUUUGAGUUCAAGUCUCUGUCACUAUCUGCAUUUGGUUCCCACUUCUGUUUGUGCACAUUAGUUUUUUUAUUUUUAUCUACUUUGGAUAAAGUUGGUCUUAUCUGCUUGCUUAGUGAGUACGGUCACAUGUGAAUGAGUUUUAAAAUGCAAUGUUUGGUGCAUUCACUACAUCUCCCCCUGCCCAAUCACCCCCUUUCUGAUACAUAACUAUUAUAUAUAAGGUUAUGGCUUUGAAGAAAUUCAUUUCACAUACUUACAUUAGGUCAUUUAUUAGAUAGUUUUUUGACAUUUUGAAUAGUUAUGUGAUUGAUGUUUACUGCAUUAUUUACAAGUGAAUGGUUAGAGGUAUAUAUUUUCAAGCUAUUGUGCCAUGUACUGCGUUUCAUACACACAUUACUUAAAAUUACCUUACAAAAUGGCACUGCUAAUUUGAACACCGACUUUGUUUUCAGGUCAUUGCAAUUGAAGGUUUCUCUUGAAUGAAGGUUCUAAGCUUGUAGUUUACCUAGAUAUUUUGCUAUAUGCUUGGACUGAAUGGUUUGAGCAUUGGCUUUCUAAUUGUAUUUUUAAGAGAUUUUUUAAACCUUCGCAUGCCCUUUUAUUCUCUUUUUGUUAUGGGUUGUAAAAAGUUAAGUUGAGGCAACCCUUUCUUUACAGUAAACAAAUUACAAAUGUAGUAAAGGACGGGGAAAAUAAAUCAGUUGGUUACACUUUGGUCAAGAAAAACUGAAAAAAAAGAAAAGAAAAAGAGUAGAAAAAAUGAUUUGUCCACAAGUUGAGGUCACUUACUUUGCCACUAGCCUAAAAGCAAUAGUCACAUACUUAGAGUGUAAUGUACAGACAUGUAAACUCUCAUCACUACCCCCUACAAUGUAUAUUUAUUUGUUUAAAAUUUGAUUAUCGCACAAUAAUUUACUCUUUUUAUCAUAUUUUAAUUUAUUAAUUAUACAUACAAAUUUAUUAUUCAAAAAUUGAAUAAUUUCGUUGCAACGCACAGGUUUGUAUCUAGUUAAUACUAUUAAUACAAACCCGCGGGCCUUCAAAAAGUAUUCCAUUCCCAUUUCCUCUCUGUAUCCAACACACACACACACACACACACAC
This 6440-nucleotide long non-coding RNA is filed under the name Panax ginseng (ginseng). Its description in RNAcentral is "long non-coding RNA (PGIN_LNC007562)". Lineage: Eukaryota; Viridiplantae; Streptophyta; Magnoliopsida; Apiales; Araliaceae. The record is from RNAcentral.